Molecule: long non-coding RNA, 1442 nt
Organism: Chrysemys picta bellii (western painted turtle)
Lineage: Eukaryota; Metazoa; Chordata; Testudines; Emydidae
Source: RefSeq, a predicted model, not a curated record
CAGGAGUUUUAUACAUUUUUUUCCCCUCAUGCCCCACUAAGCACAUCUCUGGCAUUUAGUAGUCUGUUAAUCUCCUGUUCCAAUGGCCAUCAUAGGAGCUAGGCACACAGAUGGGACAGUGUUACUCAGAAUUUGACAUUCCUGCAUGUUACCCCAGAAUUUAACUGUACAGCAGUCAGCAAUUUUGUAUGGUUUUCAGCUGGCUGUGGCUGAACAAACAGCGCAUAGAUAGGAAAAAAAAAAAAUCUUAGGCCCUGAGAGGCAAGGCCAAAUAACAAAACUGCAAGCAUGCAGUUAUGUUAUCAGAAUGGGAGGACGGGAUAAGAAGUGAGUGUACUGUGAGAAUAGAAAGAAUGUUUGGAUGGCUGACCUUGGUCUUGAGUGCUUCUGACAUGCAAGAUAUUAUUGUUAUGACUAUUCAUUAUCUCUUAUCAUUAAAACAUUUCUAGUUUUGCUGAAAGUAGAGGAAUUGGUGACCUAUUAGGUGUUACUAUGGUGACCCACUAGGAGUCACUAUAGGUUAUGUGCUUUGUUUGAAGUUAACUAUAAAAGAUUAGGUGAAAGAAUUUGCUUUGGACCAGUCCAAGGAAGCUUUCUUGGGGCAAUGAUCUGACAGCUGAGUUCCCCAGCGGCUAGAUGAAAGGCCAAUCAAAGAUAAGGGGAAGGGACAUUCCUCAGAGACAGUCUUCUUGCUGCAGCAGAAAAGCUUCUGCAGAACCUCCAUACAUACCUGAGCACCACUGAAGCUGCUGACAGUACUGAGAUAAAAUAUAUGGUCAGGAGUGCAAGCACGUUGCAAGAUCCUUAUGGCUAAUUUAAUUUGCUUUCUUUUAUCAGAGAGAAACCUCUCCACAACAGACAGGUGGUUGUUGAUGGUGGCUCCUUGACGUCUCACAGCAAGAAGAAGUAAGCUGCAAAUUUUUCAAGCCUCCCUCCUCCGUCCCGAAGGCUAUCUCAGAUAAAGCGGCGGGAAAAAAAACGCAUGCGAGAUGAAAUGUUCUCUGAGAUCAUGCAGUCGACCCGCAAUGAAAGAGCUCAUCUGAAUGAGUGGAAGAACACGGUAUCACAGCACAGGAAAGCGGCCAAUGAACGUGAGGACAGGAGGGAUGAACGUGAGGACAGAAGGGACGCUCGAGAUGAGAGGUGGCGGCAGGAAGAUCAGAGGAAGCAGGAUGCGACGCUGGGGCUACUGUGUGAUCAAAUGGACAUGCUCUGGUAGUCUGGUGGAGCUUCAGGAAUGGCAGCAGGAUCACAGAGUGCUGCUGCAGCCCCUGUAUAACCGCCCUCCCCAAGUUCCAUAACCUCCUCACCCAUAUGCCCAAAAAUGCGGGGGUGGGGCGGGGAGGCUCCAUGCACCCUGCCACUCCACCCCAGUGGACAGCCCAAGCAAAAGGCUGUCAUUCAACAAGUUUUGAAAUGGCCUUUUCCUUCCCUCCUCCCAC